Salvia hispanica is the source of this 411-nucleotide long non-coding RNA. RefSeq lists it as uncharacterized. Lineage: Eukaryota; Viridiplantae; Streptophyta; Magnoliopsida; Lamiales; Lamiaceae. The record is from RefSeq and is a predicted model, not a curated record.
GCUACCCUAAAUCAAACACAGCCGCUGCUCAUACUUUUCACUCUCACCAAAACUCAAGAACUCUCAAUCUGAAAUUCACUCUCUAGAACUCACAAGGACGACAACAGUGACUAUUCAUAUUUUCCCACUCAAUCAAGUCCCACGUUCAAAGUUCACAAUCAAACUCAAGCUCCUUGCAAGAAUAAAUUUCUUCCUAUCAAAACCCAAUCAAGUUAAAGAAAACCGAGAACCAAACUUGAGAGAGGGUGUUACCGUUUGUUCCUUCGAAAUCUAUUCAAGGUAUAUACCUCCCAGCAACCAAUUCUCUUUUCUUUUCAUGCGUUUGCAUCUCACAUAAUACCCAACUAAAUUAUUAAAUCGAAGCAACCUGGAUUAAGAAUCAGACAUAAAUAUAUCAAGAUCGUACCUUUA